Molecule: ribosomal RNA, 524 nt
Filed under: uncultured bacterium
Lineage: Bacteria
Description: partial 16S ribosomal RNA
Rfam family: Bacterial small subunit ribosomal RNA
Source: RNAcentral
GACGAACGCUGGCGGCGUGCCUAAUACAUGCAAGUCGAACGAAGCUGUUUUAACUGGUGCUUGCACCGACUUAAACAACUGAGUGGCGAACGGGUGAGUAACACGUGGGUAACCUGCCCCAAAGCGGGGGAUAACAUUUGGAAACAGAUGCUAAUACCGCAUAACCACAGAAACCACAUGGUUUCUGUGUCAAAGAUGGUUUCGGCUAUCACUUUGGGAUGGACCCGCGGCGUAUUAGCUAGUUGGUAAGGUAAUGGCUUACCAAGGCAAUGUUGCGUAGCCGAACUGAGAGGUUGAUCGGCCACAUUGGGACUGAGACACGGCCCAAACUCCUACGGGAGGCAGCAGUAGGGAAUCUUCCACAAUGGACGAAAGUCUGAUGGAGCAACGCCGCGUGAGUGAAGAAGGUUUUCGGAUCGUAAAACUCUGUUGUCAGAGAAGAACGUGUGCGAGAGUAACUGUUCGUGCAGUGACGGUAUCUGGCCAGAAAGCCACGGCUAACUACGUGCCAGCCGCCGCGGUAA